This 624-nucleotide long non-coding RNA is filed under the name Panax ginseng (ginseng). Its description in RNAcentral is "long non-coding RNA (PGIN_LNC011915)". The record is from RNAcentral. Lineage: Eukaryota; Viridiplantae; Streptophyta; Magnoliopsida; Apiales; Araliaceae.
UAGAGUACCUUUCUUUCUUAAUUGAAAGAGGUAGCAGGUAGAAAUACCCCUAAACCUCGGAGUUCAAAGUUCAUAAUUUUUAUGAUCCCUCAGACAGAUAUGAAAAGUUUUUUUUAAAUCUUCAAAGUAAUGUUGUGGUAGAAUGUGAUGAUGGAUAUGAAAUAGUGUAAACUCGUUGCGUACGAGUAGAAUCUGAGAUGAUUAAAUAAAGGUUAUUAUGACAACCUAGUUUUGAUGAAUGUUUAGAAGAUGUAAACUCCUAGUGAGUAGUUAUGGUGAAAUGUGAUAAUAGAUGAGAAAUCCUCGAAUGAGGAAAUUGUAAAGGUUAAAUUGAAAACCUAGUUUUGAUCAAGAGAAUGAGCAGAGAUUAGGAUGCUUUAAUUUCGAGGACGAAAUUCUUAGAAGAAGGGGUGAAUGUGACAACCCGAGAAAUUAGAAAAUUAUUAAAAUCUUAAAUGAUUGGUUUAAGGUCAAAUAAUAGACCUAGACAGAGAAUAAGUGUAUGUGUUUGAUGUUUUCAGAAAGGAAUUUUGAGGAUUUAAAAUUUCUUUUAGUGAAUUAUUCAGGAUUAAGGGUAUGUGUGUAUAUAUUCUGUGAUUACGGUAUUAUGUGUACAGAAUGUGG